Molecule: ribosomal RNA, 291 nt
Filed under: uncultured bacterium
Lineage: Bacteria
Description: partial 16S ribosomal RNA
Rfam family: Bacterial small subunit ribosomal RNA
Source: RNAcentral
GUGGAUUAGAUACCCUGGUAGUCCACGCCGUAAACGAUGUGUGCUUGUCGCUGGGAGGUUCACCUCUCGGUGACGCAGCUAACGCGUUAAGCACACCGCCUGGGAAGUACGGCCGCAAGGUUAAAACUCAAAGGAAUUGACGGGGACCCGCACAAGCGGUGGAGUAUGUGGUUUAAUUCGUCGCAACGCGAAGAACCUUACCAGGCCUUGACAUGCCCUCUAUGGGCCCCAGAGACGGGGUCCUUCACUUCGGGUGGGAGGGACACAGGUGCUGCACGGCUGUCGCCAACU